CCAGACUCCUACGGGAGGCAGCAGUGGGGAAUAUUGGGCAAUGGGCGCAAGCCUGACCCAGCAAUGCCGCGUGAAGGAAGAAGGCUUUCGGGUUGUAAACUUCUUUGACAGGGGAAGAGCAGAAGACGGUACCCUGAAAACAAGCCACGGCUAACUACGUGCCAGCAGCCGCGGUAAUACGUAGGUGGCAAGCGUUAUCCGGAUUUAUUGGGUGUAAAGGGCGGGUAGGCGGGAGCGCAAGUCAGAUGUGAAAACGCAGGGCUCAACCCUGAGCCUGCAUUUGAAACUGUGUUUCUUGAGUGCUGGAGAGGCAAUCGGAAUUCCGUGUGUAGCGGUGAAAUGCGUAGAUAUACGGAGGAACACCAGUGGCGAAGGCGGAUUGCUGGACAGUAACUGACGCUGAGGCGCGAAAGCGUGGGGAGCAAACAGGAUUAGAUACCCGUGUAAUC
Molecule: ribosomal RNA, 449 nt
Filed under: uncultured bacterium
Lineage: Bacteria
Description: bacterial SSU rRNA
Rfam family: Bacterial small subunit ribosomal RNA
Source: RNAcentral